Molecule: ribosomal RNA, 506 nt
Filed under: Pholcus parvus
Lineage: Eukaryota; Metazoa; Arthropoda; Arachnida; Araneae; Pholcidae
Description: partial 16S ribosomal RNA
Rfam family: Bacterial large subunit ribosomal RNA
Source: RNAcentral
CAUUUAAAGUAAGACCUGCUCAAUGAUAAUAAAUAGCCGCAGAAUAUCUGUGCUAAGGUAGCAUAAUAACUUGCUUCUUAAUUAGAAGAUAGAAUGAAAGGUCAAACACUUAAAAUAUGUUUCUCUCAAACUAAAUUAAUUUAAAAAUAAAGUCAAAAUUCUUUUAAAAAAAGCGGGACGACAAGACCCUGAUAAACUUAACAUUUAGUUGGGGAAACACAUUAAAAACACUUUAACAAUAUAAAACACACAACUUUCAAAAAAAUUAAGCUUAGUUACUACAGGGAUAACAGCGUUAUUUCUUUCAAGAGACCUUAUCUAAAAAGAAGAUUACGACCUCGAUGUUGAAUUAAUUAACCUAUAAAACGCAACAGUUUAUAAUAAGGUAGUCCGUUCGACUAUUAAAAAAUUACAUGAUUUGAGUUCAGAUCGGUGCAAGCCAGAUCGGUUUCUAUCUGCUAAACUAUAAACUAUUAGUACGAAAGGACCCUAGCUUAUGAUACAAU